Molecule: ribosomal RNA, 852 nt
Filed under: uncultured Bacillota bacterium
Lineage: Bacteria; Bacillati; Bacillota
Description: bacterial SSU rRNA
Rfam family: Bacterial small subunit ribosomal RNA
Source: RNAcentral
GGCAGCGCGGGGCGGCAACGUCCUGGCGGCGACCGGCGGAAGGGUGCGUAACGCGUGAGCGACAUGCCCGUUGCCCGGGGACAACCGGUGGAAACGCCGACUAAUCCCCGAUGGGACGGAGGCCCUCAUGGGUCUCUGUUGAAAGUUACGGCGGCGACGGAUUGGCUCGCGUCCGAUUAGCUUGUUGGCGGGGUAACGGCCCACCAAGGCUACGAUCGGUAGGGGUUCUGAGAGGAAGGUCCCCCACAAUGGAACUGAGACACGGUCCAUACUCCUACGGGAGGCAGCAGUGAGGAAUAUUGGUCAAUGGGCGGAAGCCUGAACCAGCCAUGCCGCGUGCGGGAAGGAGGCCCUAUGGGCUGUGAACCGCUUUUGCCUGGGGGCAAUAAGGGCGUCGCGCACGUCCGAUGAGAGUACCAGGGGAAUAAGCAUCGGCUAACUCCGUGCCAGCAGCCGCGGUAAUACGGGGGAUGCGAGCGUUAUCCGGAUUCAUUGGGUUUAAAGGGUGCGUAGGCUGUGCGUCAAGUCAGGGGUGAAAUUCCGGGGCUCAACUCCGGGGCUGCCCUUGAUACUGUCGCGCUGGAGUGCGGAUGCCGCCGGAGGAAUGAGUGGUGUAGCGGUGAAAUGCUUAGAUAUCACUCAGAACACCGAUUGCGAAGGCAUCUGGCGAAUCCGUAACUGACGCUGAGGCACGAAAGCGUGGGGAUAGAACAGGAUUAGAUACCCUGGUAUUCCACGCCGUAAACGAUGAUGGCUAACCGCCGGCGACAUACUGUCGGUGGCCAAGCGAAAGCGAUAAGCCAUCCACCUGGGGAGUACGUCGGCAACGAUGCAACUCAAAGGAAUUGACGG